This 263-nucleotide ribosomal RNA is filed under the name uncultured bacterium. RNAcentral describes it as "partial 16S ribosomal RNA". It matches the Rfam family "Bacterial small subunit ribosomal RNA", at positions 524 to 782 of the family's 1533-position model. The record is from RNAcentral.
UACGAAGGGGGCUAGCGUUGUUCGGAAUUACUGGGCGUAAAGAGCGCGUAGGCGGUCUAUCAAGUUUGGAAGUGAAAUCCCCGAGCUUAACUCGGGAAUGGCUUUCAAAACUAAUAGACUAGAGAAUGUAGAGGAUGGUGGAAUUCCUAGUGUAGAGGUGAAAUUCUUAGAUAUUAGGAGGAACAUCGGAGGCGAAAGCGGCCAAUCUGGCCAUUUCUGACGCUGAGGUGCGGAAAAGCGUGGGGGAGCAAACAGGGAUUAAG